This is a long non-coding RNA of Hemicordylus capensis (graceful crag lizard), 1761 nucleotides long. RefSeq lists it as uncharacterized. Lineage: Eukaryota; Metazoa; Chordata; Lepidosauria; Squamata; Cordylidae. The record is from RefSeq and is a predicted model, not a curated record. The transcript is spliced from 3 exons.
UGCAUUUGAACAAUUCUGUGUGUUCCUAUUGGUGUUUACAAAAUUCUGGUACCAUUGCUCACCCUACGUACACACUGAGGCCAGGCUGCAGGCGGGGAAGCAGCGACAUAUAAAUGGCUGCAGGAGACAAACAGAGGAGUGGGAUCUUUGGAGUCAAGAUUUGAAGGAAUGCAUGCCUGAUGUCUUGUAGAGCUCUGCUGCCAUUUGGAGUAGAUAGUGCUUGGCUAGAUGGACACAAAUGACUUUGCACAGGCACCAGGGAGUGACAGCAGGAUGGACCAGAUGUGCUAUGCUCAAUGGCCUUCUUGAUGGCCACAAAUCUCUGCUAAUCCCAAUGAUGGUGUCAACUGAAUACGAGCUUGGCCAAUCUGUUGAAACUGUCAAACACCACCACACACUAAGAUUCACAUAUGUAGCAGUUGGUCCUAGCAGCUGGACCUGCAGACUUUCAGGACUGCAGCUUCUCCUUCUCCUCCCAUGAGAUGCCGUGUUUGGAACAGGCAAGUGUGCUAAGUUGGCAAAGAGGCACCUUUUAAGGUGGUGAUUCUUUUUAAUUAGCAGGGGGAGAGUAACUGGUCCUAUCCACCCCCGGCACAGUACCUCCAGUGACAGUUGCUGGUGUCUGUCUUAUGUUUCUUUUAGAUUGUAAGCCCUUUGGGGACAGGGAUCCAUCUUAUUUGUUAUUUCUCUGUGUAAACCACCCGGAGCCAUUUUUGGAAGGGCGGUAUAGAAAUUGAAUAAAUAAUAAUAAUAAAUUUGUCACUAGUGAUGAGUGAGCUCCCCAUGGCUCACAUCAGACUGGCUAAAGAUUCGACAAGUAACUUCCCAAAACAUUGAGAAACCACUCAGCUUAUUUCUGAACCAAAUCCAAAUUCAGUCCCCUAAUGCCACCCACCAAACCCCAAACAUUUGCAGCGAGAGAUUGUGGGCACUUGCAAGGUUCAACUGUCCCUGGCUGCAAACAACAGCUUUCAGGCUAAGGAGAAGACCCACAUAUGGAACACAGCUCCACCCCCUGCUGAAGACCCUAAGGGCCAAAGCAUACUCUGUGGUGGGUGGUUGUUGUUGUUGUUGUUGUUUGCCCCUGCACCAGAUGCUUUGGGGGCUGUAGUUCUUCCUGUGCCUAUUGAAACUAGUGGUCUCCAUGCAGAUUAGUGUUGAGCGAGCAUGAUGUUGUGGUAUAGGCAUUGUACAGCAGGUUGUGCAAUCUUGUAUACAUUCUGUGGUUCUGGUUGCACAACAUUUCAGAGCAUCACAACUUCACACAGCUUUGCAAACGUCUUAACUGUACACACAACCAGUGUUCUCUCUAAUUUUUUUUUCAUCUGUGUGCAGAAUUAGUUUUGUUCUGGGCAGCAGUAUCAAGGCAGUGUGCGCGCACGUGCAUUCAGAGUUCGGCCUUCCUGAUUCAACCUGAGUGGGAUCUAAAAUUAACUGAGCGGACAUCAGAAAAUGUGUGAGCACAAGGACAUGCACACGCCUUAGAGGGAACAGUGCACACAACUUCUCUCAUUGGCUAGAGCAACACUAGUAUAGGUGUCAGCCAAAGUCUCCACUGAACUGAAUAUGCUUAUUCAUUACCACAAAUUAAUUUGGCUUUCUUUGUGGAUCUUUUAUUAUAUGGAAUAUUCUGACAUUUUGUACAGGUUACUCUUCAUUGUGGUACUCACCUUAGAUUAUGGAUUUAAAUAAAUAAAUUCCAUAGAAUACUGAUCACUUUUAUGUGGGAGAGUAUCUUGGAAGUUCUUUUUAAUCAGUGCA